RNAcentral lists this ribosomal RNA (323 nucleotides) under uncultured bacterium. Its description in RNAcentral is "bacterial SSU rRNA". It matches the Rfam family "Bacterial small subunit ribosomal RNA", at positions 28 to 330 of the family's 1533-position model. The record is from RNAcentral.
GACGAACGCUGGCGGCGUGCUUAACACAUGCAAGUCGAACGAGGGAAUUGAAAGCUUGCUUUUGAAACCCGAGUGGCAAACGGGUGAGUAACGCGUAGGCAACCUGCCGUUGAGAUGGGGACAACAUCCCGAAAGGGGUGCUAAUACCGAAUGUUGUGGUGAAUCCGCAUGGAUUUGCUACUAAAGAUGACCUCUGUUUAUAAGUUAUCGCUCAACGAUGGGCCUGCGUCUGAUUAGCUAGUUGGUGGGGCAACGGCCUACCAAGGCGACGAUCAGUAGCCGGUCUGAGAGGAUGAACGGCCACAUUGGAACUGAGACACGGU